Molecule: small RNA, 26 nt
Filed under: Bombyx mori (domestic silkworm)
Lineage: Eukaryota; Metazoa; Arthropoda; Insecta; Lepidoptera; Bombycidae
Description: ovarian small RNA-19114
Source: RNAcentral
UAAGAACUUAGAAUUUGGCAUCAUCA